CUCCGAGCUGGUGGAGAGGCACAGCGAAGGCAGCUGGAUAAAUUCAUAGCUGUGAAAGUCCUGGAUCAAAUGGUACUCGGAGAAUUAAAGCUGACUGGACUCAGUUCCUGGAAUUUUCUAGAAUGGUAGAAGUGGAAAAUGUAAGAAAUGUAUAAGGAACAAAAAUAAAUAAUGUUUGCAGCCUGUUGCUGGCGGUAGUCUGAUCUAGGGAUUUAAAGGAGGCAGGAUGAAUCCCAAUCCAUGCCACCACUGCCACCAUCUCUUAUAGAGAGGGACAUACCCCUGUGAUUCGCCUCUUUU
Capra hircus (goat) is the source of this 300-nucleotide long non-coding RNA. RefSeq lists it as uncharacterized. NCBI's taxonomy places the organism in Eukaryota, Metazoa, Chordata, Mammalia, Artiodactyla, Bovidae. The transcript is spliced from 3 exons. The record is from RefSeq and is a predicted model, not a curated record.